Molecule: non-coding RNA, 1968 nt
Organism: Monodelphis domestica (gray short-tailed opossum)
Lineage: Eukaryota; Metazoa; Chordata; Mammalia; Didelphimorphia; Didelphidae
Source: RefSeq, a predicted model, not a curated record
UUGGGGGAGGAAGGGGGAGGAGCUGGGCUUCUGCAGCUGCUGGAUUCAGAGAGAAUAAGGAGUUUUAUACCUUCCUUCCUCUUCAGUGGUGGUACUUUUGACAAGGAGAAAGUGAAGCUUGUAGAAAGGAGUUUGAAAAAUGCAAGAAGAAGAUGCAAGACCAAACAUUCCAUUUGGAACACCAAGGUUCAAACAUCAAAGAAAGGACCCAAAGUUCUGAGGAUUGUUGCUUAUUCUGACCUCUGCAUCCAGCAAGUCUGAGGGUUCCAACUAGAAACUUGAGUUUGGUUACCAAUUAUAUCCUGGUGCCAUUUAGUCGCCUUUAGGCAAGGCUUUGGACACUUCUUUGCCACAGUUUGCUCCAUCUGUUAAAUGGGAGAAUGUAACUUCUUUUCUGAAUCCCAACAAUUUUUAUAGCAUGAUUAUAUAUGAAUGCUUGAUUUUCUCAGAAAUGUUCAGAAAAUUAUAUCUGUGCAUUAGAAUCUCAUCUCUCAUGUCAAUUUGCUGUGUGACUAAGAAAAACACAAGCAAAAAUUUCUGCAUUUAUCUGAAUAAACAUUUAUCAACUGCCAGUUGUGUGCAAAAUACUAGAUGGUGAAGAUAAAAAGAUGGAAAAAAAUGAGAAAGAAAAACUCCAGUCUGUCCUCAGGGAACUUAUGUUUUUCUAGAAAAGAUACGGUCUUUCGAAGACAAAUUCUAGGUUCUGCUGAUGGAGAGAAGGAAUUGACAACUCAGAAUCACAGCGUCUCAAAGAUGGAAGAGUACUCUGAACAUCCAGCAUGAUCCUUAGUGGAACAAGAAUACUCUACAACCUCCCUGUGCCUGUGUGAAAGAGGAAUUGAGAAAGCAUGCAAAAGCCAGAGGGAAGUCAUGCAGCAAGACAAGAAGCAAUGGCUGGAGGUUGAUCAGCUGUCAAUCAAAGGAAGAUUCCAUUUGGAAUGUUACCAGGAAACAGUUGAAGGCAAGAACCAACUGCUAACUGAUUUCUGGGCUUCUUGGCUGAUGGUGGUGACUUUGAAGGAAGAAGCUGGGUUUAUCUCUGGGACAUGGGAUAAUCAAGCUGGAGUUGGCCUGGUGACUUUGAAGGCAGAAGAAGAAGGACAAUAGUCCACUUAUCUCUCUCAGACUUGCUCUGUUUCAUGGUAGUGACUGAAUUGCCAUUUCUCUCAAUAUCUUCCAACCCAAGACUCACUGUAGAUAAUAGGAAAACCCCCAACCCUCUUACCUCCAUCCUCCAUCUUUUCCUGUUUUCCCCAAUAAACUUCUACUUGAGAUAAAGAAGAGAAAAGAGUAUUUCCUCUGAAACAUCAUAGCCCACCCUGAGUGACUUAGAAGGAGGCUGAAGAAGAAAGGGGAAGGGGAAGGAGAGAGAGGCUGAAGAGGCUGGAAGAGGGAGAAAGGGAGAUAUAGAGGGAGGAGGGUAGGCAAAAGAAGAUAACUACCUAAUCCAUCAGUUAUCACUUACCCAUCAAAUAUACUCCCUCCAAUAUUAUCUAUUACAAUUUGGCACCUCAGACUGUCUGGACUUUACAAUCUCCAAAAAACUAACAGCAAGAUGUUUAAGCAAGUGCUCUGUGCUGGCUGCCAUUAUGGCUUACUGGAUCUAUAACAUUCUAUACAGUAAAAUGACCACCAUGAUUGUAGACUUGGUGGAAUACCUUGGUAACACCACAAUACUCAUACUACAGUGCCCAUUCCAAAAAGAAACUAUCCUCUGGCACAUUAUGACUCAAGUUUAUAUCAUUUCCAUGGCUGCCAUACGGACACUGACUUAUUUGAAGAACAUCUAUAGAUUUCUGAUCCCUAAACAAACAACAAAGAUAAUGGUGGUGGAUACUAACUUGGAAAAAUAUUAUUAAGAAUAUGUUUGAGGAAUUUAUGAAGGCAAAAAGGGUAGACCAGAUUAAGGACAAGAACAAUGGCCAGACAGAUAGUGCACCCAAAGAGAAAGACAGAAAGGCAAAGAAA